Molecule: ribosomal RNA, 446 nt
Filed under: uncultured bacterium
Lineage: Bacteria
Description: partial 16S ribosomal RNA
Rfam family: Bacterial small subunit ribosomal RNA
Source: RNAcentral
CCUACGGGAGGCUGCAGUCGAGAAUCAUUCACAAUGGGGGAAACCCUGAUGGUGCGACGCCGCGUGGGGGAAUGAAGGUCUUCGGAUUGUAAACCCCUGUCAUGUGGGAGCAAAUUAAAAAGAUAGUACCACAAGAGGAAGAGACGGCUAACUCUGUGCCAGCAGCCGCGGUAAUACAGAGGUCUCAAGCGUUGUUCGGAAUCACUGGGCGUAAAGCGUGCGUAGGCUGUUUCGUAAGUCGUGUGUGAAAGGUGCGGGCUCAACCCGCGGACGGCACAUGAUACUGCGAGACUAGAGUAAUGGAGGGGGAACCGGAAUUCUCGGUGUAGCAGUGAAAUGCGUAGAUAUCGAGAGGAACACUCGUGGCGAAGGCGGGUUCCUGGACAUUAACUGACGCUGAGGCACGAAGGCCAGGGGAGCGAAAGGGAUUAGAUACCCCAGUAGUC